UAUUCGAACGGGGUUUUCUACGGAGCCGGAUAAUACUUCACGUACCUCAUAUGGGAUGGCCCUGUAAAUUGUGCAACACUGUGGUACCAGGAAAGAGUGACAUUUUAAAGCAUUAUAGACUGCAUCAUGGGACUUUUGGACACAGCCAUGCCUUGCCUUGUAUUCAUAUAGAUUGCCCAUGUUCUUUUAAAUCCUGGAGUUCCUUCCGCUCUCACCUCUCAAGAUACCACCCAGAAGCUAAAUCCUUCAUCUCACCACAAGAAAGCAAAUGGUGAUAUUGAAGCGCCACAUCUGUCUCCAACAUAACUCUUCUUAGAAAUGGAGCAAACUGUGAGAUUCCGGGUCCUCAUCGAUCAUGAAAUCAAGAAACUCACUCUCAGCAGUGGCAUGCCCUCAACUGUAAAUGAGUUGGUUGCAGCUGUCAAAGAACAUUUUUCCAUCCCCACAGAUAUAAGUCUUCAAUACAAAGAUGAGGAAUUUGAUGACUUCUUCACCCUAACAUCUACCAAUGAGCUGAAAGAUAAGUGCACACUUAAAGUUGUGUAUACACCGCUGGAGUUGACGCUGACAGUUGUUCCC
Molecule: long non-coding RNA, 579 nt
Organism: Micropterus salmoides (largemouth bass)
Lineage: Eukaryota; Metazoa; Chordata; Actinopteri; Centrarchiformes; Centrarchidae
Exons: 3
Source: RefSeq, a predicted model, not a curated record